UACAGAGGUCUCGAGCGUUGUUCGGAUUCAUUGGGCGUAAGGGUGCGUAGGUGGCGUGGUAAGUCUGGUGUGAAAUCCCGGGGCUCAACCCCGGAACUGCACUGGAUACUGCCAUGCUUGAGUACUGGAGAGGAGAUUGGAAUUUACGGUGUAGCAGUGAAAUGCGUAGAUAUCGUAAGGAAGACCAGUGGCGAAGGCGAAUCUCUGGACA
RNAcentral lists this ribosomal RNA (211 nucleotides) under uncultured bacterium. Its description in RNAcentral is "partial 16S ribosomal RNA". It matches the Rfam family "Bacterial small subunit ribosomal RNA", at positions 524 to 735 of the family's 1533-position model. The record is from RNAcentral.